UGCACCACGGCGUCACCGGACGAACAGGGCAAGGAAACGAAUCAACGGCUUACCUUGAUGCGGCUGGGGUGCUCGGAAAGGGCGGGGAUGGCUGGACGGAAACGAAUCGGUCCGCGGCGGCUGAUCCUUGGGAAGAUGUGGGCGUCGGCAGACAGUCUACUUGGCACAGAGGACGCGGACGACACGGCAAGGACGAUCUGGUCAACGGUGUGUCUCGGGGCGGCCUCCUUCAACGAUUUCGGGAUUUGAGAUGCGAGGUGUUCCCUGGGCUGGAUGGGAACUAGAGACUAGGUGAGAUGCGUGCUUUUAAUUUUUUUGUUUGUACAAAAGGAUUCUGACAUGAGGAAGUAUCAUUUGCAGAAAACAAGUAUGUACUGCAGGUUUUGCUGCACAAACUCUGGAAGUAAUGUUGUUUGUUCAUUCCCAUAAUAUUAUUUUUUCCUGGUCGGUUGGGCAUAUAUGCCUAUAUUAUGUUUGUGAAUUCCAUCAUAUGAACUACUUUGCAUGAAUUUCCUAGAUAACAUUUCCUUAUGGGAAAAUUUGUUUUUGCAGGAGGCAUGGGAUCUCAUCUCUGCAGACGCUUCUCAAAAUUGUCCAAUAAUUGUGGUAUAUCAUUUCCUUUUCUUACCUUUGCUACCAAAAAAAUAUUCAGCUGACCCACACACCUCCACUCCUUCACUGCCCUCGCAGGCCUCCACCUUGUGACCAUCAGGUGCAUCGGCCCCAUCAGGUCGGCCUGUGUGUUUCGCGCCGGUGGCUUGGAAGACGAAAACGUGCAGGAGCAGAAGUAGUGCAAGGAAGACGCUACAGUGAGCAGAAGCAGUGCAAGGAAGACGCAGACGUGUGGGAGCAGAAGCGGGCUAUGCUCUGUGCUUCGCCGCUGCACUCACGUGCACCAUUACCAAGCAAUGGAGAACCAAAGGUAAGAUGGUCUAAUGAUGUGUUCUUUCUAAUGGAAAAUUGUGUUUUCUCCUGUUGGUAGCUCCUCACGAGGAAAUACGCAUAUGUGUAUUCGACCGAUGAUACCAUUUAUCAUCUCAAAUGGUGAUGUCUUUUCUUACAUUGAUGGUUGUUUCAACCUUAAAUUUUAUUGAUUCCUAAUGCCACCAUCAUAAUGAUGGAAAUUUUAGACUAAGCAAUAGCUUAUGGAUUCACUAUGUAGAUGUUUGAGGACUGUUCAGUAUUGACAACAAUUUUUUGUAGUGUCUAAUUCAUGGUCCACUCUAUACAUUAGUGAAGAUAUGCUUUAAUUUCCAUGCAUGAUGCAUAAUCCCUCCUUGAGAUGCAGAUUAGUGAUUGAUGAUUCACGUACAGAUUUUGUGUGGUUAUAUUCUUAGGGUUCAGACUCAGUUAAGCAGCAUGAUGGAUUGUAUUUUUCGGGCACUAGGUUCCCAUCAAGGCCUUCACUUUCAGGAGGGCUACCGGACAGCGGCGAGGAGCGCAGCCACUUGGUCGACCAUUGGAGCAUUGCAAUUCGAUUCAUGGCAGAAUGCUCCUAGAGCUUUUUUCUCCUCUGCACCGCUAUCGUGAACCCCUCCAGACAGUGUUGCCUUCUUUCCCACCCUGACAGCUUCCUCUAAUGGCAGAAUGCCAUGUUUGGUCUCGCUGGACUGGGAACAAAAGCUUCUUGCCAAUGUUACUUUGGCAGGUCCGUGGCCGGAUCUUAAGAAGAACUUGCAGGCUCAUAUCUCUCUCUCUAUAUCUCUCUCUCUCCAUAAAUCACAAUGUUCAGGUCUGUAAGGAGGAGAUGAGAUGAUCAUGUGUUUUAAGUUUUUUGAGAAAAAUAUCAGAAUUGUAGCAUAUCCAUCAGAAAUGUGGAUUAUAUAUAUCUGAUACAUGUACCUAUCUUCAUAGCAAAGAGAUUGACUACAUGUUGCCUAUAGUCUCUAAGAUGGAACAUAUAUGCUUUUUACUGGAUUUUUUGUGUUUGCCCCAGAAGAGACCGCCGUCAAUGGAUCUCCUCCAGCAUCGUGAAUAUGCGGCACCAAUAGCAGCAUCAACACAAGGUUUCCUCUAGGCUCGGGUUUUGCAUUUGUACCAUGGAUAUUUGUAGUCCGAUGCAUUUUAACAGUAAACUAUAGGAACAAAUAACCAUUGACUGGAUUAUAUAUCCAAACACAUCUCUUGAUUAUUCACUCCCAGUUUUACAAUGUUGAAUCUGUGAAAAAAUAAGAGCGCUGUUACACACAAACAUAGGGAUGAUAUCUUUCUUCUUUUGUAUGAAAUGUUGUAAUUCUCUGAUCUAUUUUAUCGCCACGUGAAUAUUUUAUAUUUCGUACUCUUCGGAUAUAAAUGUGAACCUAAGACUAGAUCAUGCAAGUAAAUGCAUAAUGUAUGCCUACGUAAACAAAGAAACGGAGCUUCUUCGGAAGAAAAAGAAAUGGAGCUGACAAUUAGGGACUUACACUUCAGCAACUCACAAGAACAAUAAUAUAAUUUCUUGGUUAGACUAUCUAUUUAACAUUCUUUCGGUGCCAAGUGAGUUUUUUUGGCUAUAUUUCCUGUCCAAAGUAAUUAUUUUUAACUCACGUUGAUUUUAUAAAAUUAUCCUAGGGAUGUGGAUUUUCCCUUUCCUCUAUAAAGAAGUACCUUAUGCUGGAAAAAAAAGAAAAAUUAAGGGAAGCUGAGGUAUGUUCUUUUGUGUCCUAAUUAUAAGCAUUACCAGUUUUAUGUGCCAAGGUCCAGUAUAGUUAGAGCCACUAUCCUAUUUCAUGCACGCAGCUGCAAACAAUUAGUAAGGUUUAAAUGUAUCCGACUUUGUUUAUCUUAAGAUUGAGUGGACUGGCUAUAUUUUAAUUUAGGCAGUUCAGUAGUCUGUCAAUCUCUAACUAAUGGAAAUGAGAGAAGCCUCAAUUCACAUUAUAUAUGAUUUAUAUGCAUUUCUUAAUCAACGUGUUGAGAAAUAUAAUCAUGCCACUUGGUAAUACUAUCACAUUUUCUG
Lolium rigidum is the source of this 2941-nucleotide long non-coding RNA. RefSeq lists it as uncharacterized. The transcript has 5 exons. The record is from RefSeq and is a predicted model, not a curated record. Lineage: Eukaryota; Viridiplantae; Streptophyta; Magnoliopsida; Poales; Poaceae.